AUUGAACGCUGGCGGCAUGCCUUACACAUGCAAGUCGAACGGCAGCACGGGUGCUUGCACCUGGUGGCGAGUGGCGAACGGGUGAGUAAUACAUCGGAACGUACCUUAUCGUGGGGGAUAACGCAGCGAAAGCUGUGCUAAUACCGCAUACGCCCUGAGGGGGAAAGCGGGGGAUCGCAAGACCACGCGCGAUUAGAGCGGCCGAUGCCUGAUUAGCUUGUUGGUGGGGUAAGAGCCCACCAAGGCGACGAUCAGUAGCUGGUCUGAGAGGACGAUCAGCCACACUGGGACUGAGACACGGCCCAGACUCCUACGGGAGGCAGCAGUGGGGAAUUUUGGACAAUGGGGGCAACCCCGAUCCAGCAAUGCCGCGUGAGUGAAGAAGGCCUUCGGGUUGUAAAGCUCUUUUGUCAGGGAAGAAACACCGGCUCUAACACAGUCUGGGAAUGACGGUACCUGAAGAAUAAGCACCGGCUAACUACGUGCCAGCCGCCGCCGUAA
RNAcentral lists this ribosomal RNA (501 nucleotides) under uncultured bacterium. Its description in RNAcentral is "partial 16S ribosomal RNA". It matches the Rfam family "Bacterial small subunit ribosomal RNA", at positions 29 to 523 of the family's 1533-position model. The record is from RNAcentral.